GCCGAGGUGGCGAAACUGGCAGACGCGCUGGCUUCAGGAGUCAGUGCCCGCAAGGGCUUGAGGGUUCAACUCCCUCCCUCGGCA
RNAcentral lists this transfer RNA (84 nucleotides) under Patescibacteria group bacterium. RNAcentral's name for it is "tRNA-Leu". It matches the Rfam family "tRNA". From Rfam's summary of the family: Transfer RNA (tRNA) molecules are approximately 80 nucleotides in length. Their secondary structure includes four short double-helical elements and three loops (D, anti-codon, and T loops). The record is from RNAcentral.